Capsicum annuum is the source of this 1907-nucleotide long non-coding RNA. RefSeq lists it as uncharacterized. NCBI's taxonomy places the organism in Eukaryota, Viridiplantae, Streptophyta, Magnoliopsida, Solanales, Solanaceae. The transcript has 2 exons. The record is from RefSeq and is a predicted model, not a curated record.
UUAACAGCCUCUAUUAUUGAAACAGUUAUAGAUCAAUUAUUGUAGCAGUUGUAGAUGCUUCACUGUUCUCAAUCCUCUGUAAAACUGAAUUUUUUUCUCACCAACUGCAUUGUCGUAGCAGGUUUUAGAUCACCCACCGUUGUCGAACCUUUGUUCUAAUGUGUACAUUGUGUCCCAUUGAUCUACUCCAUAUAUGAAAAUGACAACUAUCUAUGGCAAAACCAAGUUAAAGGCAAUUACCAUUGAUCUGCUUCAGCUGCUUUUUAAGUUUCCAUCAACAUCUACCUCCGGCAAAACAAUGAUUUGGAUUGUUUCACUCACAAUUCCAUUGAUUGAAGAUAAUGUAACCGGAACAAAUCAUCAACUACCUCUGGAAGGGAUUGUUGCGCUCACCAUCCUGCGAAUGAAUAUAAUGAUAACAAGAACAAAUCUUCAACUAUCUCUGGAAAUAGUAAUGAAGGCUACAUUUGACCUAUAUGCAAAAAUUAUAACAAGUCAAUAUGCUUUAAAAUAGGUUUAUUUCAAGGCAAAAAAUAGAUUUCAAAAAGAGAUAUCAUAGUAAUUCGUAAUAUCAUAUGCUGGGAAAUCUGAAAAGCUCAGUGCUCAAGCAGGUAAGAUAAAGUGUCUGGCCUAAUUUAUAAUACUUUUAGCAUCUUAGGUGGACAAUCUUAAAAAUUAAUUACAACCCACAUUGAAAGUGGCACUGGAAUGGACAUAGCAGGCAGAUCAUGCAGUUGCACACAAAAUUGAAUGCAUCAUAGUGAGGAGAUAGGAGCCCGAGGGAUUAUUAGAGAUCACAGUGGAAAACUCAUUUAUGCAUUUUUUAAAAAUCCGUAUAGGAGUAGCAGCAAUCUAAGAAAAGCAUUUGUGGCAAAAUUAGGCAUGCAAUGGUGUAUUUCUCAAGAUUUUCAAAACAUAAUCCUUGACUGUGAUUCCUUUGUUAUUAUUAUCAAUGUGCCCACAAACAAUAUAAGCAUCACAUGUCCACUUCAAGGUUCCAUAGAGGAUAUGAAACAGAUGUUCUGUCAGACAAAUGAUAUGAUCCAACAUUGUUAUAGAGAAGGCUAGGGCGCACUAGCCAAAUGGAGCUAACAAGUUGGGCAAUUGUUUGUGUCAAAAGAUCUGGGCCAUACUUUCUUGACAAGGGAAACAUGGCAUAAAUUACACAAUAACCAAGGAAGAACAUUUUUGUACACAAUUGUAAAAUUUUUGGGAGCCUAUUUUCUUUCUUAAUGAGUUCUUUCACUGUAAAGUAUCUUAGAUAUUUAUUAGGUGUGCCUAAGGCACCGUCCUUAUGGAAAAUUUUAGUAAGUAAAUCUGAGUCUGGCACCAAAAGGAAAUCUUUAAGCACCUUGCACCGAAAGUGCAUGUCACAAAGAACAUUGUAUAACGAUCAAGUGUUUUGAUUUUUAUUUCGUUAAAUUGUUGUCAUAAUGCUCCUAUUUAUUUUUGUAUAAAAUAUAAGUUAUUUUGGGUUGUUCAACAUGUCAAUACAAUUCAAAUAUUGAUCAUCCUCAGAUAGCUACGUUGUUUCAUAAUGCAGGUUUUGAGGCUCAAUCUCAUGGUCCAGCACAAAAGUAGAACCUUUAAAAGCGUCAAAGUUGGUGAGCCAUACAUCUUUCAGAAGAUGUUACUUAGACAUUAAGUUCUUUCAGUUUUAUGGUAUGGCCGCGGCCUUGUCCCGGUUGGAUUAGAAAAUAACUCCUCGCAACUCCGAUCCGUUGAAUGAGAUGUCACUAGCUUCUUAUGUAUUGUGAUUGGUUUCUGGUUCCAACUUCAUGAUACAAAUACUGAUAUCUUCUAUGGCCUUUUAUUUAAUAAAUUUACUAUAUUGUCUCGAACUUUGGGAAUUUUCACAAAUUGUGGUAAUUAUAGACUAUUAUGAUAAUCUUAUUCAAAGGUUUCUU